CGCUCUUUCUCUCUAUCUGGCCUGGCCUGGCUUGAUGGGGAGAAGGAGAGGG
RNAcentral lists this microRNA precursor (52 nucleotides) under Drosophila melanogaster (fruit fly). Its description in RNAcentral is "microRNA dme-mir-9377 precursor". The record is from miRBase by way of RNAcentral. Lineage: Eukaryota; Metazoa; Arthropoda; Insecta; Diptera; Drosophilidae.